Molecule: long non-coding RNA, 1016 nt
Organism: Scylla paramamosain (green mud crab)
Lineage: Eukaryota; Metazoa; Arthropoda; Malacostraca; Decapoda; Portunidae
Exons: 7
Source: RefSeq, a predicted model, not a curated record
UCCAGUUGGUCGAUCGGAGCGCAGUCCCCGUCCUCAGUCUUCCUCGAACGGAGAGCACGGAGAGGUAUGCGUUCACUCCUCGUAAUAAAUGAAGUAUAAACAGACCAGGAGAUUUCAUUGGUGGUACCGGAUCGUUAUUUUUGAAGUCAGUGCUGCCCUUUACGCACGACCUCCCGGUGCUCGAACAGAGUCGUGGUUUCCUGUUGUUUUGUACGGGCGCCAAGAGGAGGCCAAAGACAGGUGCCUACUUCCCUGAUAAGACGCCAUGACAGUCUGUUCCUGCGUCUUACUUAAAAGGACAUUGCGACGGCGCAGCAGGAGGAUGACGCUCUACUGGACCCACCAGGAUGCCCCCUGAGCCUGCCUGCUGGAUCCCGUGACUCUUUGGGAAAACUGACACCACUGCCACAUGGGAAUAUGUAAGAUAUGGGGUGUGCACUGACAGAAGAGUUUUCUCGAGAAGCGUAUUGGGGAAGCGCUCAGUAGGGGUCACACGGCAGGACAACAUGCCCCCCACUGGAACAGAGCAGGUCGCCGGAGUGUGCGAGUUGACCUCGUCCAUCAGUGCCUGGAACUAAGGAAUCGAACCACCUCUGCCCCUGCUCAAAAAUUGACACCGCGUAGAAGUCAACUCGGUCUCAAAAUAAUCAAGGAAGAAGAAAAACUACUGGCAGCUGUCCCCCGUACGUGUAUCUCCUCUCAACGGGAAGCAGGCCGUAACGUCGUCAUCCAGGCGGGCGGGGUUUCAUGCUAAGACCCAGCGACGUGACCUACACACACCACCUGCAAAAUCGAGCAGCAGCAGUUCAUUGUGAUCCAUUCAAUCUGUCUUCGUUAGGUGCUGAGCAAAGUCUGAAAUCUGAAGAAAUUUCUUUUCCCGUAUAAUAUAUAUUAAAUAAACAUGCACAAGCAACAAACGCCUAAAGAUCGCCGCCUGUGGCUCCCCGCUCUGCCGUCAGGUUUUUUCAUCACACAAUCUCUCUAUUUUCCGUAUUGUAUUUGAAAAUUACCGCCAA